RNAcentral lists this ribosomal RNA (253 nucleotides) under uncultured bacterium. RNAcentral's name for it is "partial 16S ribosomal RNA". It matches the Rfam family "Bacterial small subunit ribosomal RNA", at positions 524 to 776 of the family's 1533-position model. The record is from RNAcentral.
UACGUAGGGUGCGAGCGUUAAUCGGAAUUACUGGGCGUAAAGCGUGCGCAGGCGGUUCGUUGUGUCUGAUGUGAAAGCCCCGGGCUCAACCUGGGAAUGGCAUUGGAAACUGGCGAGCUAGAGUGUGGCAGAGGGGGGUGGAAUUCCGCGUGUAGCAGUGAAAUGCGUAGAGAUGCGGAGGAACACCGAUGGCGAAGGCAGCCUUCUGGGCCAACACUGACGCUCAUGCGCGAAAGCGUGGGGAGCGAACAGG